GGUUGGUACUUGUACCGACUGGAUGAGCAGCGAACGGGUGAGUAACGCGUGGGGAAUCUGCCUUUGAGCGGGGGACAACAUUUGGAAACGAAUGCUAAUACCGCAUAAAAACUUUAAACACAAGUUUUAAGUUUGAAAGAUGCAAUUGCAUCACUCAAAGAUGAUCCCGCGUUGUAUUAGCUAGUUGGUGAGGUAAAGGCUCACCAAGGCGAUGAUACAUAGCCGACCUGAGAGGGUGAUCGGCCACAUUGGGACUGAGACACGGCCCAAACUCCUACGGGAGGCAGCAGUAGGGAAUCUUCGGCAAUGGACGAAAGUCUGACCGAGCAACGCCGCGUGAGUGAAGAAGGUUUUCGGAUCGUAAAACUCUGUUGGUAGAGAAGAACGUUGGUGAGAGUGGAAAGCUCAUCAAGUGACGGUAACUACCCAGAAAGGGACGGCUAACUACGUGCCAGCAGCCGCGGUAAUACGUAGGUCCCGAGCGUUGUCCGGAUUUAUUGGGCGUAAAGCGAGCGCAGGUGGUUUAUUAAGUCUGGUGUAAAAGGCAGUGGCUCAACCAUUGUAUGCAUUGGAAACUGGUAGACUUGAGUGCAGGAGAGGAGAGUGGAAUUCCAUGUGUAGCGGUGAAAUGCGUAGAUAUAUGGAGGAACACCGGUGGCGAAAGCGGCUCUCUGGCCUGUAACUGACACUGAGGCUCGAAAGCGUGGGGGAGCAAACAGGAUUAGAUACCCUGGUAGUCCACGCCGUAAACGAUGAGUGCUAGAUGUAGGGAGCUAUAAGUUCUCUGUAUCGCAGCUAACGCAAUAAGCACUCCGCCUGGGGAGUACGACCGCAAGGUUGAAACUCAAAGGAAUUGACGGGGGCCCGCACAAGCGGUGGAGCAUGUGGUUUAAUUCGAAGCAACGCGAAGAACCUUACCAGGUCUUGACAUACUCGUGCUAUUCCUAGAGAUAGGAAGUUCCUUCGGGACACGGGAUACAGGUGGUGCAUGGUUGUCGUCAGCUCGUGUCGUGAGAUGUUGGGUUAAGUCCCGCAACGAGCGCAACCCCUAUUGUUAGUUGCCAUCAUUAAGUUGGGCACUCUAACGAGACUGCCGGUGAUAAACCGGAGGAAGGUGGGGAUGACGUCAAAUCAUCAUGCCCCUUAUGACCUGGGCUACACACGUGCUACAAUGGAUGGUACAACGAGUCGCGAGACAGUGAUGUUUAGCUAAUCUCUUAAAACCAUUCUCAGUUCGGAUUGUAGGCUGCAACUCGCCUACAUGAAGUCGGAAUCGCUAGUAAUCGCGGAUCAGCACGCCGCGGUGAAUACGUUCCCGGGCCUUGUACACACCGCCCGUCACACCACGGGAGUUGGGAGUACCCGAAGUAGGUUGCCUAACCGCAAGGAGGC
RNAcentral lists this ribosomal RNA (1392 nucleotides) under Lactococcus lactis. Its description in RNAcentral is "bacterial SSU rRNA". It matches the Rfam family "Bacterial small subunit ribosomal RNA". The record is from RNAcentral. Lineage: Bacteria; Bacillati; Bacillota; Bacilli; Lactobacillales; Streptococcaceae.